RNAcentral lists this ribosomal RNA (253 nucleotides) under uncultured bacterium. RNAcentral's name for it is "partial 16S ribosomal RNA". It matches the Rfam family "Bacterial small subunit ribosomal RNA", at positions 524 to 776 of the family's 1533-position model. The record is from RNAcentral.
UACGUAGGGGGCUAGCGUUGUCCGGAAUCAUUGGGCGUAAAGCGCGUGUAGGCGGCCCGGUAAGUCCGCUGUGAAAGUCGGGGGCUCAACCCUCGGAUGCCGGUGGAUACUGUCGGGCUCGAGUGCGGAAGAGGCGAGUGGAAUUCCUGGUGUAGCGGUGGAAUGCGCAGAUAUCAGGAGGAACACCUAUAGCGAAGGCAGCUCGCUGGGACGACACUGACGCUGAGACGCGAAAGCGUGGGGAGCGAACAGG